This is a long non-coding RNA of Acanthaster planci (crown-of-thorns starfish), 6466 nucleotides long. RefSeq lists it as uncharacterized. Lineage: Eukaryota; Metazoa; Echinodermata; Asteroidea; Valvatida; Acanthasteridae. The record is from RefSeq and is a predicted model, not a curated record.
UUAAAAUUGCUCUGGUGCACGUCUUUCAGAAUUUUUCAAGAUUUUCAUACACUUUUACUGCCUUCCUUGAAUUCACUCAACUGCAGUUCUCUACGAUAUUCCAGCAGAACAGCUGAUGGAACCCCGAGUAUGAGCCAUUUACAUCAUAGACACCUGCUGCUGCGGUCUGGAAAAAUAGCCACGACGUGCAAGCUUAUUUUGGUAACAGUAUUGUCACAGAACCAGUCUUCUAAAGAGAAUUCUUGCCACAGUGUUGAUGUACGUGUACAGUACAUGUAUCAUCAUUCGAGAGAGGAGAGUUCUCCAGAGACACAGGAGAAGUCACUGCAGGUUGAUGCUACCAGUUGCCUGAGGUCUCUACAAGUUGCUGAAGGUCACUGUUGGCCCAAAAUGUCACCUGACCAAAAUGAUGUGCACUGACAGUUCCACAGUGUGGGGUGCUUGAUGUCACCAGAGGUCACCGACUGCCACUGCUGAUUUGAUGAUGUGGGCAUUAGACAUUUGGAUUCUUCACCAGCAAUUGCCAUUCCAUAGUUUGGAUAUUGUGUAGUAAGAGCACACUCAGAACAGAACUGAUUGGGGCAGACCCCUCAAGUCAGACUAUACAUGUAGGUACAACUAGUGCUCGUCCUACAAGUUUGCAAACAGAAAACAGUCCUUUGUUGCCUGUAGCACUGAAGGACUUUACCCGUUUUGCUUCCAGCAGUAGGAUACUCAGAAAGGGAUAAGCGGAAUGAAUCAACUUGAGUUAGGCAGAUCUUAUUCUGUCAAGUUUGGUGUACUGUUAAUUGAUGCCAGUUACUCACAGAGGAGUUUCAGCUUUUACAAUGAAUGCUGCGGUACAUGUUUGUUUGUGCAUUCAUGUAUGUGCCUGAUUCAACUUGUCUUGUGAUGUCUCUAUCUACCAAACUGGAUAAUGCAAGAGCCAUCCACGCUAAGUAUAGAAGGAUGCUGUGUCAGCCUAGAUCAACCCCUUCUUUUUUGAGAUUUAGCAAGAUGGAGAGGCACUCACUUGCUCUAAAGCUGAGACCUAUCCAGCAAGCACACCAAGAGCCCUGUAUAAUACCUUCAUUGCACAAUUUGAUGUUAACUCUUGCGGGAUGUUCUGAGUGGUUUCUGCAGGUCUUCCACGUCUUAGUGACUGUGCAGAUGAGCUCAGCUUGGGCACAUGUCCUCUAGCAGAAUAGCAGACAAACCCUUCAACACAAUUCAUCUCUGCCCAUGGCUAUGAUACAUUCCAAGCUUGAAAGAGAGAGCAAGUUUGCCGAUAAGCCCUUUUAGACAGUCGUGUGAUGGAUGAUCUAUACCAUGACUUGUUCCAAGGAAGGAACAAAGUGUGCUUGGGAGAUGCAACAGUUGCUAAGUAGAUGCCAGGGAUGUGUGCUGCCACAGCCUACUGGGAUGUGAUGACAUGAAUGCCAUAAAUGAACUGACUCUUGGCAAUUUGAGGCAUAUACUGCCAUAGACACUCAAACACAGCAUGGAACUUGAACUCUUAGAAUAUGUCAAAGAGCACUUGACCUCUCUUGCCUGAGUGUCAUAAGGAAUCAUUAAGGUUUUCUUGGAUCACAAAAAAUCAUCCUUGGGUAGGCCCACUCUAAGUGAAGUAUUUCAAGGAUGAUCUUUACAAAUUGGUCAGAGCUUUGUAAUUUGUUCUUUCCUAGUUAAUGUGCAACAUUAUACCAUGAGCUGUAACAGACUGGUACCUCACAAUUGAUUGAAAAUGAAUGUAGACUGUCUGGUGGACUUCAUCCUUUCAAAAAGGAUUUUAAAAAUCUGGAAAUGGUUACCAAAUUUCACGGCAGCCAAGGGCAGGAGAGGUGGAGUAUUAGACACAGCUUGAGAUGGAAAGACAUUCACCUGAAAGGCAGCCAACAACCUCUUUGAAAACUUUCAAUUAUUUCCAUUUUUCAUACUUUCAUUCUUUUUUGUACUGGAAGUCGAUUUCGGUUCCAAUUCUUUGUUCUGUUCUAUAAAAAGUAACCCCCUAGGGACCAUUGAAAUCAUGCACAAAUUAACCCUAAACCCCCCCUCCCCGAGACCAUUGAAGUCCUGCAUAAACUUGUUGGGUUCUGAAUGGUUGGGGUUUAUUUGGGAAAAAAACUGAAAAAUUGAUGUUGCCUGCCUGAAGGUGUUGUCAAAAUGAUACCUUAAUAUCAAGUCAUUGUUAAGGUAACUUGGCUCUCACAAAACCAGCCUAUUCAGUGGAUUUUUGCUUUGGUUAGCAUGUUUUCAACCAACACGAAAUGUGUUAUCCCUUUUGAGAUGAAGUACAUUUACAUGUAUAAGGAGUCAUAUUUUACUUAAAUCAGAUUGAAAUAAGCGCUGUGCCACUUUGGCUUUCCAAACUUUGACUCCCAUCACAGAAUUUUGCUUAAAGAAAUCUUGAUCUAACAAAUUUCAGCAGCAACUUUACAAUGUUACAUCAUUUACAGAAUCUGUGGAUACAUGUAAUGCUUGCUGAUCCAAAAAUGUUUUGUGGGAGCCAAUUACAUUGUACGUUGAGCAUAUGAUGAACGGAAGUGAUUUUAACAAUGCCUGUGUGGUAAUAUUUUUGUUGGGUACAAGAUUAGUCAUCUGUCAUUGAAGCUAAUUUUUGGUGAACCUUCUUUUUUUUCUUGAAUGAAUCUCUGCACAUCUAAUGCUGAUAGAAACAAUCUGUUGUCUUAUUUUGCUGUUGCCUAAAGCAACAAAUAGUGGAGUUUGAAAGUCAAAUACAUGUGUAGAGUAUGAAUUCCUGAGGAUUUGACAAUUUACAUGUAACUAUAAAAAUCUACUUCAAAUUUGAAGUGGGAGCAACAAGCAAACAAAAGACAUUUUUUUUGUCAAACUUUCUCGCCACAUUCAACAAACAAUGAAAAAGGAGCCAUAUUUGAUUUUGCAAACUGUACAUGCUUGCAAUUAGCAAAACUUUGAGAAACGUUGCUGUUUUUAUUUAUUCUGAUUCAGAUUUCUAUUCAAAGAUUGAAAGGCAUUUUUUCAAAGAGUGUUCUAAGUACUUGUUGAAUGUUUCGAUGUGAAAUGUACAAUUUUUGAGUUAUCAACUCUGAUAUCAAAACAAAAUUUAUAUUUUUGUUCUCAUUGGGUCAUUUAUGAAGAUUACUCUUGAUUGCACAAAAGUACUUGUAAUUUAACUUACUUUCUCUCACAGUACAUGUGAUUCUAAACAUAUAUCUCCUUUCACCAGACUAGUCUUGUGCCCAUCGUAUUAUUAUGCAUUUCUGGUAUGAUCAGCAGCAGCACGUACCUAAAAUGUAAAAUCAUCCAUUCAGUUUGACUCUCAACCAGUACUUUGAGGAAAAGUACUGGUAACUCAAUUCCACAAAUUUCUUCAGGAUUCAAAUUUAAAGUUGUCAAUAAAUAUGUACAUAUGUAUUCCUGUUAGAGGAAUUUUGGGCGAAAAGUCCUAAAGUUCAAGCAGAUGUACAUAUUUCUUUCGAGGAAUCUUUCACAGGUGCAUCAUGGGGAAUGCCAAAUCUUAAUUACUCUCCCCAAUUCAUCGCUGCCAAAGAAAUGAUUGCAUGUCUCUAUCUCUGGUGCUGAUUGUACGAUUUAUGCCAUCAUAAAAAACCCAAUACAUGUAACAAUGUAUAACAAUCUAUUCAUGUUUCACCUACAGGCAUUCCAUCCUAAAAUCACUCGAAGCCCAAUGCAUGCAGGCCCCCCCUGCUGCACACCCGGGUGGUGUUCCCCGCCCUGCAGGCACCGACAGGCCUGGUGAGUCACCCCUGCUGUCUGUCAUCGGCUGGUGGUUGGCUGUUCUUUGUGUGUGCGCCUUCUUCCUGCUUCUUGUUGUCUGGGCGAUCAUGGAUACCUCAGUUGACUGCAAUGGGUAAGGAUCACUUGUGCUCUUACGGUUGGCUUGCUUUCCUUCAAAGGAGCUGGCAUCGAGGCUGCUUGUACGAUGUGUUACCGUGGCAACCAAUGAAUCCAUCCUGCACUCUUAGGAUUGCGAAUUGAGGGAUAACUCUUGCACCUACUCUUGAUCUGACACCCACAACUUCAGAUGUCCACAGUUACAUCGUGUUUUGAAUCAGACAGAGGAGGUGUUUACCCAUGCUAACUUUUUGUGAGUUAUCUCUGAUGUUUCUCAGUGUUGUGAAUUUUAGGACAAUUGUCGUAACUCCUGUUUGUGUUGAUAACUUCCUUGUGCAACUCCUAGAUCGAUCUGCAUUGUAUUGUGUUACCAUGUUCCUAAAAAACAUCUCAAAGAGAGAGCACUUGCAGUCAUUAACAUCAUUAACAAAAAGAAAGAGGUGUAGAUGGUUUAUUUUCCAAGCCAGGAAAUCUUUAGCUUUGAGCCAUCAGCUCAUAAAAACCAGCUAUUCUGAUUUUGGAAGCACACAUAAAUCUUUUGUAAAAUAUUCACUCAUAAAAUGGUUCUUGUAACUGAAAGAAACUGCAUUCUUAAUCUCAAAGCCAGUAUCCAAAAAGAGUCUUGCUGCCAUGGAGAUACUCUGAUUUGUAUUCACAAAUAAGCCAAAACUUUAUCUUUAAACCUGUUCCUGAUUGAGAAGCCGUUGCAAACUGAAAGUUAAUCUAAUAGAUUUGAAUUCACUCUCAAAGAAAGUGUGCCAGAGUAGUGUUUGUGAAAGGAUCUGAGGUGAAAAAGCAAUGUUAUUCAGAUGUAAACCAGUUGUUGAGAAAAAAAUGAAGUUGCAACGUUAGACCAAUUUUCAUUGGAAUAAAUCAACUUUGAGGAAUUGUUGUGCCAGCAUCUAUGUGAAUUAAAAAUGAAAUGCACUGCUCAUUGUAGCAGAUUUAAUGACUCCAAAAUACAUUCUUGUGUAUCAAAACGGGAAUAACAUGGUAAAAGGAAUGAGGGACAUCAUUAGAAAGGGCCAAACUCUUGAAUUUGUAAGGAGAAGUUGUGCAGAGAUUGGGAAACCAUACUGCCUCCUUGCCAGAUGAUGGAUGCGGUGGACAAGAUGCCCUCUGCAUCCUGACAAGAAGCUGUGGUGUCAGACACGGGGAGCCAGUCCUGCCUAAAGGCAUCCAUGGUAAGCUUAAUUGGAGUUUGGAGGAUCAAUUCAUGCACUGAUUGACAAGGUUGUACAUCCUCACAUCUUGCCCAUUGAACCCAAAGUCCCAAAUUGUGUGUCUCAUGGCUAGGAGUCAUGCUGCCUGUAUGUCUGUGUAAUAAGAUCCAAUGGCUCUGUGCAUGUAGUCUUCAGUCUUUGGCAAUACUGUGUGAUGAGGGCCCAUUUACACUGACGAGUGGCAACAGAAAAGUGGUUUGUUAUGCAAUGAGAAAGUUAUACACAGAGUGGAAAUCCAUUUGGUAUGCUGAUAGCUUCUGACCGUGCCAGUGAUCCCCAUAGGAAGAAUCAAAGACUCAAUGAACGCACGUCUACUCUCACUCCAACUGUCUUUUGGCCAGUCUGUGUUGUUAUACAUGUACCUAACAAGGGCACUGAUUGUCCAGAACACAUAGUUUCGGUGCAAAGAUCACUCAGGUUUCUGAAUCCAACAGUCUGUCAACCUCUUGUACGGGUUGUCUGCUCUCGAUAUCUGCCCUGAGUUGAAGUGCACCCUCACUGGCAAAAGAAAGACAGACUGGUAUAAUUUUUUCCAACUGGGUUCUUGCAUGCAUUCGGCGUGCACACAAAGACAGUAAAUUCCAAAAUAAGUUUGUUGCGGGUACUCUGCGUGCUCAACAUCAAAUGGGCAUAAACUUGCAUUCCUAUGCAGUGAGUUCAUACCAAAGGACUGUCCAUUUCAUUCAAAAACACACCCUCUUUUGUUCCUGCUCUGAGCGUAAAAACAGCCUCAUAGGAAUCCCUUGUGUGCGAUAUUUGUUACUGUGUGGGAUUCUGUUGUCACUUGUCUGUGUAAAUGGGCCCUUAGAAAGGAAAUGACUACCUGAAAGUGGACCUGAAUUGUAGUAGAAUGCCUUAUAAAGGCAUUGACAGUGAAAUUUGGUGAAAUUGCUGGCUUUUAGAGACAGAUACAGCUGCACUUGAAAUCUGCUCAGAGCUGUCUCAGUGAAAAUGUCACCGUGGAGUAUGUGAUUCAAUAUUCUCUCCUCUUGGCUUGUUUUCCAAACAUCUGGAAACUGACUGACUGGCUGAAUUCAAGCCAUUGGCAGUAGGGCUCUAAUGUGUCUCACUGUUGCAGCUAAAGACAAACCUGAUUGUCUGGACAGAGAGAAACAGCCUGUAUCAAGGUGCCAUCAGUGAUCAAGAAAGGCAUCACAUCAAAUGAUACAAGGCACAUCAAUGGAUAAAACUUCCACCCGUGUCAGAGUUCCAGUGAUCAUGAGUGCUUGAAUGCAGCACAGUGAAGUGCAAUGGCACAUUGUAAUGCCGUCUGCACCUGGGCCAUGAUAGCUCAAACUAUCAAGUGCUAGAAUCUGGAGAGCACAUGUACCCCAGUGGAUGCCAAGUAGCAUUCUUUGCUCUCUAGCAGAAGUGAAUAAAAGUCACAGAUUCUGUGAUGGUCAUUUGAUUUAUGUGAGUCACAGGUA